Molecule: ribosomal RNA, 450 nt
Filed under: uncultured bacterium
Lineage: Bacteria
Description: partial 16S ribosomal RNA
Rfam family: Bacterial small subunit ribosomal RNA
Source: RNAcentral
GUGGGGAAUUUUGGACAAUGGGGGCAACCCUGAUCCAGCAAUGCCGCGUGCAGGAAGAAGGCCUUCGGGUUGUAAACUGCUUUUGUACGGAACGAAACGGUCCUGGUUAAUACCUGGGGCUAAUGACGGUACCGUAAGAAUAAGCACCGGCUAACUACGUGCCAGCAGCCGCGGUAAUACGUAGGGUGCAAGCGUUAAUCGGAAUUACUGGGCGUAAAGCGUGCGCAGGCGGUUUUGUAAGACAGGCGUGAAAUCCCCGGGGUCAACCUGGGAAUGGCGCUUGUGACUGCAAGGCUGGAGUGCGGCAGAGGGGGAUGGAAUUCCGCGUGUAGCAGUGAAAUGCGUAGAUAUGCGGAGGAACACCGAUGGCGAAGGCAAUCCCCUGGGCCUGCACUGACGCUCAUGCACGAAAGCGUGGGGAGCAAACAGGAUUAGAUACCCCGGUAGUCC